This 253-nucleotide ribosomal RNA is filed under the name uncultured bacterium. RNAcentral describes it as "partial 16S ribosomal RNA". It matches the Rfam family "Bacterial small subunit ribosomal RNA", at positions 524 to 776 of the family's 1533-position model. The record is from RNAcentral.
UACGUAGGGCGCAAGCGUUGUCCGGAAUUACUGGGCGUAAAGGGCUCGUAGGCGGCCAACUAAGUCAGACGUGAAAUCCCUCGGCUUAACCGGGGAACUGCGUCUGAUACUGGAUGGCUUGAGUUUGGGAGAGGGAUGCGGAAUUCCAGGUGUAGCGGUGAAAUGCGUAGAUAUCUGGAGGAACACCGGUGGCGAAGGCGGCAUCCUGGACCAACAUUGACGCUGAGGAGCGAAAGCCAGGGGAGCAAACGGG